GGUUAAGCGACUAAGCGUACACGGUGGAUGCCCUGGCAGUCAGAGGCGAUGAAGGACGUGCUAAUCUGCGAAAAGCGUCGGUAAGGUGAUAUGAACCGUUAUAGCCGGCGAUGUCCGAAUGGGGAAACCCAGUGCAAUUCGUUGCACUAUCGUUAACUGAAUACAUAGGUUAACGAGGCGAACCGGGGGAACUGAAACAUCUAAGUACCCCGAGGAAAAGAAAUCAACCGAGAUUCCCCCAGUAGCGGCGAGCGAACGGGGAGCAGCCCAGAGUCUGAAUCAGCUUGUGUGUUAGUGGAACGGUCUGGAAAGUCCGACGGUACAGGGUGAUAGUCCCGUACACCAAAAUGCACAGGUUGUGAACUCGAAGAGUAGGGCGGGACACGUGGUAUCCUGUCUGAAUAUGGGGGGACCAUCCUCCAAGGCUAAAUACUCCUGACUGACCGAUAGUGAACCAGUACCGUGAGGGAAAGGCGAAAAGAACCCCGGCGAGGGGAGUGAAAAAGAACCUGAAACCGUGUACGUACAAGCAGUGGGAGCACCUUCGGGUGUGACUGCGUACCUUUUGUAUAAUGGGUCAGCGACUUAUAUUCUGUAGCAAGGUUAACCGUAUAGGGGAGCCGCAGGGAAACCGAGUCUUAACUGGGCGUUAAGUUGCAGGGUAUAGACCCGAAACCCGGUGAUCUAGCCAUGGGCAGGUUGAAGGUUGGGUAACACUAACUGGAGGACCGAACCGACUAAUGUUGAAAAAUUAGCGGAUGACUUGUGGCUGGGGGUGAAAGGCCAAUCAAACCGGGAGAUAGCUGGUUCUCCCCGAAAGCUAUUUAGGUAGCGCCUCGUGAAUUCAUCUUCGGGGGUAGAGCACUGUUUCGGCUAGGGGGUCAUCCCGACUUACCAACCCGAUGCAAACUACGAAUACCGAAGAAUGUUAUCACGGGAGACACACGGCGGGUGCUAACGUCCGUCGUGAAGAGGGAAACAACCCAGACCGCCAGCUAAGGUCCCAAAGUCAUGGUUAAGUGGGAAACGAUGUGGGAAGGCACAGACAGCCAGGAUGUUGGCUUAGAAGCAGCCAUCAUUUAAAGAAAGCGUAAUAGCUCACUGGUCGAGUCGGCCUGCGCGGAAGAUGUAACGGGGCUAAACCAUGCACCGAAGCUGCGGCAGCGACACUAUGUGUUGUUGGGUAGGGGAGCGUUCUGUAAGCCUGCGAAGGUGUGCUGUGAGGCAUGCUGGAGGUAUCAGAAGUGCGAAUGCUGACAUAAGUAACGAUAAAGCGGGUGAAAAGCCCGCUCGCCGGAAGACCAAGGGUUCCUGUCCAACGUUAAUCGGGGCAGGGUGAGUCGACCCCUAAGGCGAGGCCGAAAGGCGUAGUCGAUGGGAAACAGGUUAAUAUUCCUGUACUUGGUGUUACUGCGAAGGGGGGACGGAGAAGGCUAUGUUAGCCGGGCGACGGUUGUCCCGGUUUAAGCAUGUAGGCUGGUUGUCCAGGCAAAUCCGGAUAAUCAAGGCUGAGGUGUGAUGACGAGGCACUACGGUGCUGAAGUAACAAAUGCCCUGCUUCCAGGAAAAGCCUCUAAGCAUCAGGUAACAUCAAAUCGUACCCCAAACCGACACAGGUGGUCAGGUAGAGAAUACCAAGGCGCUUGAGAGAACUCGGGUGAAGGAACUAGGCAAAAUGGUGCCGUAACUUCGGGAGAAGGCACGCUGGUGUGUAGGUGAAGCCCCUGCGGGUGGAGCUGAGACCAGUCGAAGAUACCAGCUGGCUGCAACUGUUUAUUAAAAACACAGCACUGUGCAAACACGAAAGUGGACGUAUACGGUGUGACGCCUGCCCGGUGCCGGAAGGUUAAUUGAUGGGGUUAUCCGUAAGGAGAAGCUCUUGAUCGAAGCCCCGGUAAACGGCGGCCGUAACUAUAACGGUCCUAAGGUAGCGAAAUUCCUUGUCGGGUAAGUUCCGACCUGCACGAAUGGCGUAAUGAUGGCCAGGCUGUCUCCACCCGAGACUCAGUGAAAUUGAACUCGCUGUGAAGAUGCAGUGUACCCGCGGCAAGACGGAAAGACCCCGUGAACCUUUACUAUAGCUUGACACUGAACAUUGAGCCUUGAUGUGUAGGAUAGGUGGGAGGCUUUGAAGCGUGGACGCCAGUCUGCGUGGAGCCAACCUUGAAAUACCACCCUUUAAUGUUUGAUGUUCUAACGUUGGCCCCUUAUCGGGGUUGCGGACAGUGUCUGGUGGGUAGUUUGACUGGGGCGGUCUCCUCCCAAAGCGUAACGGAGGAGCACGAAGGUUAGCUAAUCCUGGUCGGACAUCAGGAGGUUAGUGCAAUGGCAUAAGCUAGCUUGACUGCGAGCGUGACGGCGCGAGCAGGUGCGAAAGCAGGUCAUAGUGAUCCGGUGGUUCUGAAUGGAAGGGCCAUCGCUCAACGGAUAAAAGGUACUCCGGGGAUAACAGGCUGAUACCGCCCAAGAGUUCAUAUCGACGGCGGUGUUUGGCACCUCGAUGUCGGCUCAUCACAUCCUGGGGCUGAAGUAGGUCCCAAGGGUAUGGCUGUUCGCCAUUUAAAGUGGUACGCGAGCUGGGUUUAGAACGUCGUGAGACAGUUCGGUCCCUAUCUGCCGUGGGCGCUGGAGAAUUGAGGGGGGCUGCUCCUAGUACGAGAGGACCGGAGUGGACGCAUCACUGGUGUUCGGGUUGUCAUGCCAAUGGCACUGCCCGGUAGCUAAAUGCGGAAGAGAUAAGUGCUGAAAGCAUCUAAGCACGAAACUUGCCCCGAGAUGAGUUCUCCCUGAGACUUUAAGUCUCCUGAAGGAACGUUGAAGACGACGACGUUGAUAGGCCGGGUGUGUAAGCGCAGCGAUGCGUUGAGCUAACCGGUACUAAUGAACCGUGAGGCUUAACCUU
Molecule: ribosomal RNA, 2902 nt
Filed under: Klebsiella pneumoniae
Lineage: Bacteria; Pseudomonadati; Pseudomonadota; Gammaproteobacteria; Enterobacterales; Enterobacteriaceae
Description: 23S ribosomal RNA
Rfam family: Bacterial large subunit ribosomal RNA
Source: RNAcentral